This 595-nucleotide long non-coding RNA is filed under the name Phoenix dactylifera (date palm). RNAcentral's name for it is "long non-coding RNA (PDAC_LNC020681)". The record is from RNAcentral. Lineage: Eukaryota; Viridiplantae; Streptophyta; Magnoliopsida; Arecales; Arecaceae.
AAUCACUUCAAAGUAGGCAAUUUACAACUAAAACCAUUCAGACAUGAAAUACUUUUCCAGAUCUACGCAGGAGACAUUAAAAAGAUGGGGGGCAACCCAUCUUUUCCUCAAAGAAAAGAAGAAGAAGAAGAAGAAAAAGAAUAUAUAUAAAGAUAGAAGAUCACUUAAAACCAGCUACUUUACAAUCAAAAUCGUUCGUAUUUGAUAUAUUUCACGGAAGCAUGUCAAAUUCUGGUCUGAAACAAAACGCCAGAAAAAAAAAAUCACUCAACAGGAGGUAAUUUACAGGGAAAAUCCAUCUCUCUCUAUUUAUUUCAAUAGAUCAUGUCAAAUCCUGAUCUGAGAACACAUAAUUCAGAUUGAAAAAAAAAGAGACAGAGAUGGAAGAUCGCAACAGGUAAUCAAAAUUGAAAUCAUUCAGACUUGAUCAAUUUCAAAUCAGCAUGUCAAAACCUGAUAUGGGAACGGAAUAAAAUUCAGACCAAAGGAACAAAAGACAAAGAAGAUCACUACACAUGGCAACACAGCACCCAAUAUAAAAUUGAAAUCUCUCAGACUUGAGAGAGAGAGAGAGAGAGAGAGAGAGAGAGAGAGA